This 430-nucleotide ribosomal RNA is filed under the name uncultured bacterium. Its description in RNAcentral is "bacterial SSU rRNA". It matches the Rfam family "Bacterial small subunit ribosomal RNA", at positions 355 to 776 of the family's 1533-position model. The record is from RNAcentral.
UGGGGAAUAUUGCGCAAUGGGGGAAACCCUGACGCAGCAACGCCGCGUGAGUGAUGAAGGCCUUCGGGUCGUAAAGCUCUGUCGAGAGGAAAGAAUUUACAAGAUGCUAAUAUCAUCUUGUAUUGACGGUACCUUUAAAGGAAGCACCGGCUAACCACGUGCCAGCAGCCGCGGUAAUACGUGGGGUGCAAGCGUUGUUCGGAAUUACUGGGCGUAAAGCGCGUGUAGGCGGCUAUUUGUGUCAGGUGUGAAAGCCCUCAGCCUAACUGAGGAAGUGCGCCUGAAACUGAGUAGCUUGAGUACGAGAGAGGAGGACGGAAUUCCCAGUGUAGAGGUGAAAUUCGUAGAUAUUGGGAGGAACACCGGUGGCGAAAGCGGUUCUCUAGAUCGAUACUGACGCUAAGACGCGAAAGCGUGGGUAGCAAACAGG